UACGUAGGUGGCAAGCGUUGUCCGGAAUUAUUGGGCGUAAAGCGCGCGCAGGCGGUCCUUUAAGUCUGAUGUGAAAGCCCGGGGCUCAGCUCCGGAAGUGCAUCGGAAACUAGCCGGCUGGAGCGCGAUAGAGGAGGGCGGAAUUCCUGGUGUAGCGGUGAAAUGCGUAGAUAUCAGGAGGAACACCGGCGGCGAAGGCAGGUCACUGGGCCGCAACUGACGCUGAGGAGCGAAAGCAUGGGGAGCGAACAGG
This 253-nucleotide ribosomal RNA is filed under the name uncultured bacterium. RNAcentral's name for it is "partial 16S ribosomal RNA". It matches the Rfam family "Bacterial small subunit ribosomal RNA", at positions 524 to 776 of the family's 1533-position model. The record is from RNAcentral.